Molecule: ribosomal RNA, 253 nt
Filed under: uncultured bacterium
Lineage: Bacteria
Description: partial 16S ribosomal RNA
Rfam family: Bacterial small subunit ribosomal RNA
Source: RNAcentral
UACGGAGGAGGCAAGCGUUAUCCGGAAUUAUUGGGCGUAAAGCGUCCGUAGGUGGCUCUUCAAGUCUGCUGUCAAAGACCGGGGCUUAACUUCGGAAAGGCAGUGGAAACUGAACAGCUAGAGUAUGGUAGGGGCAGAGGGAAUUCCUGGUGUAGCGGUGAAAUGCGUAGAGAUCAGGAAGAACAUCGGUGGCGAAGGCGCUCUGCUGGACCAUAACUGACACUCAGGGACGAAAGCUAGGGGAGCGAAUGGG